Molecule: ribosomal RNA, 700 nt
Filed under: uncultured Inocybe
Lineage: Eukaryota; Fungi; Basidiomycota; Agaricomycetes; Agaricales; Cortinariaceae
Description: eukaryotic LSU rRNA
Rfam family: 5.8S ribosomal RNA (bases 250-403)
Source: RNAcentral
UGGCCUUGGGAUACUUGACGGCUGUUUGCUGGCCCCUUGGGGUACGUGCACGCUUGUCAUCUUUAUUUCUCCAACUGUGUACAUCUUGUAGACCUGGGAAGUCAUUGAUUUCUUUCGAGUUGGGACUGCUGUGCUUUUUUCAAGUCAGCUUUGCCUUGCAUCUUUUCAGGUCUAUGUCAUUUUCACAAACCUAUGAAUCUGUUUAGAAUGUUGAAUCAGGUCCUUUUGUACCUAUAAAGUUAUAUAUACAACUUUCAGCAACGGAUCUCUUGGCUCUCGCAUCGAUGAAGAACGCAGCGAAAUGCGAUAAGUAAUGUGAAUUGCAGAAUUCAGUGAAUCAUCGAAUCUUUGAACGCAUCUUGCGCUCCUUGGUAUUCCGAGGAGCAUGCCUGUUUGAGUGUCAUUUAAGUUCUCAACCACAUUGAUUGUUUUUGGUGUGGCUUGGAUUUGGGGGGUUUUCUUUGCAGGCUUUGGAAACGAAGUCUGCUCCCCUGAAAUGCAUUAGUAGUAUCUGAGCAGAAGAAAAAACUACUACAGGUGUGAUAAUUUAUCUAUGCCUUGGUAAAAUGCUGCAUGAACAGAUUGCACUGCUUAUAACGAGUGAGAAACCCCUUUCCUUGGGGGUGCCACAAUUCGAUGAAUUUGACCUCAAAUCAGGUAGGACUACCCGCUGAACUUAAGCAUAUCAAUAAGCGGAGGA